This 1224-nucleotide ribosomal RNA is filed under the name Triticum aestivum (bread wheat). RNAcentral's name for it is "partial small subunit ribosomal RNA". Lineage: Eukaryota; Viridiplantae; Streptophyta; Magnoliopsida; Poales; Poaceae. The record is from RNAcentral.
GCGCACGAGACGAGCCGCGCCAAGACCACGCGGCACCAUGGACUAGCUGGUGCGUUCAACACGGAGAGCAUGGCUUUCCAGAGGAGGAUCCUGGAGCGGUCAGGGCUCGGCGACGCGACGCACUUCCCGGCGUCGGUCAUCAAGGUGCCGGUGGACAUACGCCUCCGCUCGGCGGAUGAGGAGUCCCAUGCCGUCGUUUUCGGCGUGAUCGACGAGCUGCUGACCAAGACCCGCGUGCGGCCGUUCGACAUCGGUGUGGUCAUCGUGAACUGCAGCCUCCACAGCCCGACGCCGUCCUUCACCUCGCUUGUCGUGAACCGGUACUCCUUGCGCAACGACGUCGUCACCCACAACCUUAGCGGAAUGGGCUGCAGCGCCGGCAUUAUCGCUAUUGACCUCGCCAGACGCCUGCUUCAGGUACACUUGGACACAUACGCAUUAGUCGUGAGCACAGAGAAUACCACCCUAAACUGGUAUAUGGGCAAUAACCGGUCCAUGCUGGCGCCCAACAUGCUGUUCCGGAAGGGUGGCGCGGCGAUUCUUCUGUCAAACCGUCGCAGCGAGUGGCGGCGCGCCAAGUACCAGCUGAUCCACACGGCGCGCACGCACCGCGGCGCCAGCGACCAGAGCUACGCUUGCGUGAUGCAAGAGGAGGACGACGCCGGGCACCUGGGCGUGUCCCUCUCCAAGGAUCUCAUGUCCGUGGCCACCGAGGCGCUCCGCACCAACAUCACCACCCUUAGCCCCCACAUCCUACUGCUGAGCGAGCAGCUCCGGUUCCUCUGCGCCGUCGUGCUCAAGCGGGUGUUCCGCACCAAGGCGAGGCCGUACAUCCCUAACUGCACGUCUUCGGUGCAACACUUUUGCAUCCACGCAGGGGGGCGCAGCGUGCUGGACGAGCUGGAGAGAAGCCUGAGGCUGAGCGCGUGGGACAUGGAGCCCUCGAGGAUGACACUCUACAGGUUCGGCAACACGUCGAGCAGCUCGCUGUGGUACGAGCUCGCCUACUGCGAGGCCAAGGGCAGGAUCAGGAGGGGAGACCGUGUGUGGCAGAUCGCAUUCGGCUCGGGGUUCAAGUGCAACAGCGCCGUGUGGAAGGCGCUUAGGACGGUUGAGGGCUCCGGCGACGCCAAAGAGAGCAACCCCUGGGCACAGGACGUCGACGUUCUUCCAAUCCAUGUGCCCAAGGUGAUGUUGCUCGACGACGAGGCCUUGUGUGUACCU